UAUAGGGCGUCAAAUUCGAUCCGCAAACUGGAUCCACUUUGCAUAUAGAGCUAGCCAGAUCAAAUUCAAGGCGCAAACGUAAACCGGGUAGUGGACCUUAUGUUGUUAUAGAUAACAAAAGUAACGAGGCAUCAAAUGCACGAGAACCUUCAAGCAAUGAUGAUGGAGACUCUGAAUCAGCAGAUCCAUCUGAGGAAGAUAAUCAUGAAUCCGGCAACGAGGAUGAUUCAGAGACUGCAAAAAGGUUGGAAGCGCUCAAGCAUCGCAG
Long non-coding RNA from Syzygium oleosum, 268 nucleotides. RefSeq lists it as uncharacterized. The record is from RefSeq and is a predicted model, not a curated record. NCBI's taxonomy places the organism in Eukaryota, Viridiplantae, Streptophyta, Magnoliopsida, Myrtales, Myrtaceae. The transcript is spliced from 3 exons.